UAACAAUCUUGUCCUUAAGAGAGCACUGGGAUUCUGAGCUGUGGAAUUUUCCACUCAUUUAUUCUUUCAUUUUCCAUCUUCCUUUGCCUUCAAGUGUCAAUUGGCUCCUCUCAGUCACAGCUGUACAAAUCACAGGACCCCUUUUUUUUUAAUUGGCAGAAGACAUAUACAUUAUUCAUCUAUUCAUUUCCAUCUAAUGGAAAUCCAAAAAAGACAAUUGUAUUUUCCAACAAAACAUUUAAAGCUGCUUUUUCCCCCAUGAGAAACGGGACAGAAGACUCCAUCCAUGGUCUAUUUGGAUACUGAAUGAACAAAGUCUGGCUUCUCCUCAGAGUGAAACAGAUUGCUCCCAGCCAGUGAACUCAGCCUACUUUCUCCUCGUGUAAUUUUAGACUGCACAGGAAGCACUCAAGACUAAAGAAGCUGGAAUGUGCCCUUUUACCUGCAAUGAAAAGCCAACUGGUAAGGAAGUACUCUCUCUGCAAUAGCCAUGAGGACUGUGAGGUCUGCCCACAGGCAUGUGAGUGAACUUGGAAGCAGAUUCGCCCCCAACCCAGCCUUGAGCUGCCUGGAGAACUGGCCACCACCCCAGUUGCAGCCUUGAGACAGAAGAACACAGCAAAACCACUCCUAGAUUCCUGACCACAGAUACCAUGAGAUAAUAAAUGUCUGCUGUUUUAAGCCACUAAUUUUAGGGAUACUUUGUUAUACAGCAAUAGAUAACUCAUGCAAUUGGAGAAAAUCGUAUGAAUGCAUUUCAUUAAAUAAAAGAAGAAAAAAAACUCCCAUCUGCACAUUAAAAAAAAAAAAAUAGAAACAGAAUUCGCUAGCCUAUUUUUUUAAUCCCAGAUAAAAUUAUCAAUGGAUUUGAACCAACUGCUAAAAAUACAGAAAUGCAACACCUUCUAAAGAGUUUUCAAUAAUGAAUGAAUGAUUGACACCAGAGAAAAGAUGAAGUUAUUAAUUAAACUUCAAGAAAAAUCUGAAUAUAGUGCUCAGAGUAAAUAGAGUCAUGAUUUGGUCAAUCCUGCUAACAAACACUCCUGUUGAAAUUCUCUUUGCAUAGUAUCUUGUUUUGAUUAAAACUAGAAAUUAAAAUAAACUGAACUUAAAACCAGUCCUUCAAAUUACCCUAUCACAAGGUAUCACACAAAAGUUUUCAAAAAUAUAUAACAUUUUCAAACACAUUGCUCAUCCUAAUAUUUAAUAAUAUUUUUGUGGGAGUAAAAAUUUUAACUGUUGUCUAUGCA
Bos taurus (domestic cattle) is the source of this 1250-nucleotide long non-coding RNA. NCBI's taxonomy places the organism in Eukaryota, Metazoa, Chordata, Mammalia, Artiodactyla, Bovidae. The record is from Ensembl.